Molecule: long non-coding RNA, 961 nt
Organism: Lolium rigidum
Lineage: Eukaryota; Viridiplantae; Streptophyta; Magnoliopsida; Poales; Poaceae
Exons: 3
Source: RefSeq, a predicted model, not a curated record
CCUCGCGCCGCCACCAUUCUCCUCUUCAUCUCCCUCGUUUUCCUUCUUCUCUGUGAACCAACGAACACCACCACCGUACGUAUCCUCUUCAACCUCGCCAUGGCGCCGGAGCUACAGACCUCCCCUCGCCGAGCCGAGACCAGCAGAAGAUCCGCCUCGUCGUCCUCUCCAUCCCCGUUCAAGGAAUCGACCGGGGGCUCUCCGAAUCAACGGCAAAAUCGCCGAUUCCCUCUCCGACGCCGGCGAGAUAAUCCUUGAUUCCGGCUACUCCAGUCCAUCUCCGGCCUCCCCGACCUCUCCAUGACCAUCCUGGUGCUCGACCCCGGCGGUGCUUCGGUGAUCCCAUGAACUCUGUGUCGACCGUUUCAGGUUCAGCGCGGCGACGCGCACGCCCGACGCCCUCCCCCUCGUCCCGUCUCGGUCGUAAUCACCAGGGCCGUGCUCCACAGGUGUUUCCGCCAUGGCCAUGUUGGUGAAGGUCGUCUGCUCUUUUUAUUUGUUCUUUUGCUGCGCGUCAAUUCUGUUUGCAAGAUCUACACUGUAGCCCGUCUGGUCCAACCUUUGCAGAUCAAACCCAUCGGCCCAAGUUCAAAUCCCACCUGCGCGUUGCACUUGUUUUUGGGUUUUCGGAUGAGCCCACUGACUCAAGAUCUACUUCAAAUAAACCGGCGCAUCCAUCCUGUCAAGCCUUUGCUUCUUUCCGGAUAGGACCACGAAGUGAUGUUGUGAGAUACGACGAGUUCUCCGACAAGUUCUUCUGCAGCUUUUCACAGGCGAGCCCACCCCUUCACCUAUUUUACUUUUACAUGCUCUUUUGAUCUAUUGCUAUCCUUAUGUUGCGAUUCUCGUUGUGUCACGUGCCCUAUCCACCCGUUACCUAUAUGUCCGAGAUACACCUCCUCGCCCUACCUAUUGUUUGUUGUUUGCCGACUUUGCGAGUCGUAGGCGAGUUUAGGGUUUU